UUUAUUAAGAUUAUUUAUAAUUUAUUAUAUAUUUUAAAUUGUAAAUUUAUAUAUAAAUAUUUGUUUAUUAUUUUUAUAUAAAUUGUAAAAAUAAGAGGUUUUAUUAAUAAUUUAAACUAUUAUUAAUAAUUAGGGUUAUUAAUGGUAAAUAAAUGUAAUAGAGUUGAAGAUAGUGCCAGCAAAUGCGGUUAUACUUAAUCUGUGAAUUAAUUUACAACGAUUAAUAAAUGAAUUUUAUAAUUAAUAAGAAUUAAAAAUAGAUUUUAAUAGGUAGUGAAAUAGUUUUAUUUAAAAAAUUUAUUAAUUUUUAUUAGUGUUUAUAUAUUUAGGAGAUUUAUUUAGUAAACUAGGAUUAGAUACCCUAUUAUUUUUAAAUACAAACUAUUAAUUAUUUAGUAAAUGUUAUAUCAUUAAAUAAAGAAAAUAUGGCGGUUAUAUAAAUUUUUAGGGGAAUCUGUAUAUUGAUUUGAUAGUCCACGUUAAUAUUAACUAAUAAUGAUAGUAUAUAUAUAUUAUUUUUUUUGUAUUGCUGUUUUAAGACUUUAAUUGAAUUUAUAAUUUGUUAGGAUAUAAAUUUUUUAUAAAAAUUUAUAAAAAUUCAAGUCAAAAUUAAAUAUAUAUUAGAUUUAUAUGGAUUACAUUAUAAAUAAAUUUAUAAGUUUAUUAAUUUAUAUUAAUAUUAUAAAAAGGAUUUAAUAGUAAAAUUAUAUAAUAUAUUAAUUUGAAAAAUAUUUAUAUAAUGUACAAAUUGCCCGUCAAUUUCAUUAAAAGUGAAGUAAGUCGUAACAUAGUUAGGAUACUGGAAGGUGUUUUAAAUAAAUAU
RNAcentral lists this ribosomal RNA (823 nucleotides) under Megachile sculpturalis. Its description in RNAcentral is "12S ribosomal RNA". The record is from RNAcentral. Lineage: Eukaryota; Metazoa; Arthropoda; Insecta; Hymenoptera; Megachilidae.